Molecule: long non-coding RNA, 2111 nt
Organism: Gallus gallus (chicken)
Lineage: Eukaryota; Metazoa; Chordata; Aves; Galliformes; Phasianidae
Source: Ensembl
GGAGGAAAAAAAAGAAUCCUAAUAUACUUUAUUCUUUAUGAAAGCUCUAAGAGAUCUAAUUAUUUGUUUUAAUGAGAAGACUGAAGGAAGCUGCACUCUUAUUUGGAAGUACAAAGGUAAGCAAAUAAGUAUGUAUUCAUACCUUCACUGUGAAUUCUUGAAGAUAAUGUGUUAUUUUUUUCUGCAAUUGUUUAUAGAGAAGGUAGGGAUUGGAAGAUUGUGUAGCUAGUAUAAAACGUACAGCAAUAUCAGUUGCCUUUGGAGUUUUUGCUUAGAGAUGGAUUUGCCAAAGAGAAUUGUUUUUCAGUUAGAACUAUGUCAAAUCUGAACAUUAUUUACGUUAAUCUAUGUGGAUCUCCAGAUUGUAUAUCUGGAGUGAGAAAAAUCUUUGUUACCUUUUUAUGAUGAAGGAAGAAUAAUACUAUGAUUAUAUGUAAACAGUAAAACUGAAACCAAGUUUAUUUUGUUCUUUGUAGCAAUUCCCUUGAUACGCCUCAUGUAGGGAAAAGUACUUAGGCUACUUUUAUAACAAAUCAUUCAGGUCAUUUCUGAGUGAACUAAAUAGUUUAAAAACAUUAUAGGUGUCAAGAAUUGUAUUUCUUAACUCAAAAUUAUCUUUCUUUGAGUUUCUCAUGUAUGUUUUUUUCAGAUGUGCUACUUGAACGCUUCAGUUUAUGCGAAACUAUUUCACUUGACUGUACUGAGUUUUCAUGAGUUUGUACAGCAUCAGCUGAAAUGGAGCCCUUGGAACAGGGCUAAACAAUACAGUUGCGCUAAUAAUGAAGAAUCUGUGAUCAGCCAUUGACAUUGUUGAAUGGGAGGUUGUUAUGCACUUCAUGCCCAUUAAGAAGACAGUAAACUGUUGAUUAUGAGCAUUCCGUAGUACACAUUUUUCUUACUAUACAGUGUCAAAGGCCAUAUGCGUGGUUUUUCUGCUCAAUCUGCGAAGGCAUUCACAAUUGUUUCACUCAGAUGUAAGGACCCAUCUCAGUUCUGCCUCUGUGCCAGCCUGUAAAACAUGGAUCAGUGCUAAGUAUUCUGCUGUCUUGUGCACAAAAUAUUGCUCAAGCGCAUGUUCUUUAAUAGUUGCAUCACCUUCAUUGCUGGUGUUACUGAGAGGUGUAGGAUACACAAGGCUUCCGUCAGUGCAGGCGGUUUGCCAUCAUUUUCUGAAGUUGGCUGUGCUGUCCUUCAGUGUUCUGAUGGACAUAUCUCUUACGUCAGUCACAGAUUUCUCUGCAUUCAAUGAUCGUGUCUCGAGUAGAACAAAUCUCUAAUAGGGUAAUGUUAAGUUUGGGGGAUACUUCUCGUCCUCAAUGCAAAACAUCUUGGUACAAAAAUUGGUCAAGUGGCCAUACAUUAGAAAGAUCUAUACAGUCUGGAAUAGAGAAUGUUUCUGGGCUUUGAAUGGAAAAUUGUUUAUUUAGAGGGGAAAAUAAGUACUUCAUCCUAUAAUCUGCAUCCUAAAAAUGCAGGAAUCAAAAUACUGCAUCCUAAAAUGUAGGAAACUUCAACACAAAUUUCACUCUUAGUUUUAAAGAAGGAUCAAGUCUGUAUGGAAAAAGCUUGCUUCAAAAAGCAAAUUACUGAGAUGUGACAUGGGGGAAAAAAAGAAAAGCAUUUAGGGGCUUUUGAAUUAGUAUUUCCAGUGCCGUAAUGUCAUUUAGUGACUUGGAAUGGUGUGGUAUUUGUAGUUAACUUCCUUAGCCUCAGUGAGAGUGAAAUUCUUGGAAAGAAGGAUGGAUUUGUGAUUUAAAUGUGAAAUUGGAAAACAGGAGAUUUAUUUCUGGUUAGAUGACAGAUAAUUUGAUUUGGGGGAAAUAUCACUUUCUGUUCCUUAAUGUCUGCUUAUGAAAACUGGAGAUUCACAAAGAAUAUUGCUUGAUUCAUCUGAAUAGAGGAUUUUAUUAAUUGUAAUGUAUUUUAAGACCCAGAAUAGGAAAGUAAUAUUAAAACAAGUUAACUAAUGACAAUAAAAGUUUCUUGGGAGUAGAUUGGCCUAAGGCAGCAUCUGUUACUAUUGUGAUUGUUUAAUUUACAGCUACCUGUAACAAAUAAAGGUAAAAUUUGACACUUAUUCUGUGAGAGUUGUGAUACUUACUGUAUUCCGG